GACUAUGCUAGAUAAUGCAUUUACAAUGUAUGAAAGGGAAUUUUAACUUUUGGAUUGUGUUGUGUGGACGUUAAAAUCUGCCAUGGGAUUGCCAAUGAUGAUCAAGUCCUUAUAUUAUUUAUGAGAGAACAGAGAGACAAGGUAAACCAGAGUGUUUAGUAUAGGAGUGAAAGGAAUGAGAAUUCCCUUGUGACUUUUGUAAAACAGAAUUUUUGGGUCAAACGUGUGAUUAAGUUUAAAAUAGGGACGUUAUAUUAAUUUACCCAAUUAUCUUUUGGGGCCCCGAGAAUGAAACCCAAGGCCCUCCCUUGCGACGGUUGAUUCGAACGCCUUGCUUUUAAGUUUCAUAGAACAAAAGUUAAACCCAAAAAGGAAAAGAAAAAUGAGACAAUGGAGAAGCCUAGCAAAAGAAGCCAUGGAUCGAGCCUUUAUCGUCGUCAAAUUCCUCUGCUUCCUUCACGUCACCGACUCCUACCUCCUCUCCCCUACCCAUGUGCUGGGUCCUAGCAUGCUGCCAACGUUAAACCUAACCGGCGACGUCGUACUAGCCGAACACUUGUCUCAUCGGGUGGGCAAAUUGGGUCCGGGUGACGUGGUCCUGGUUCGGUCGCCGUUCGACCCUAAAAAGACCUUGACUAAGCGCAUUGUAGCCAUGGAAGGUGAUAAAGUUGCCUUCUCAUUGGACCCCACUCGAAGCCAUAGCUCUCGUUCUCUCGUGGUUCCAAAGGGACAUGUUUGGAUUCAAGGGGAUAACUUGUAUGCUUCUAAUGAUUCACGACAUUUUGGGCCUGUUCCUUAUGGUCUUAUUAAAGGGAAAGUGUUGCUGAGGGAAUUGGCAAUACAUGGCCCAUGUUAAACCUAGAGUUAAUUAGUGUAUGGCCACCAAACAGCAUUGGAUCAUUGGGUCAAUGAGAGUAUACAUUCAAGUGAUAUUGCUUCAUGUGUUUGUUGGACUCUCUCCUCUCACCUUGUGUUGGGUUUUACUGGUGAAUUUUUGGAUUACAUGGAACGGGAAUUUGCUGAUAACAGGUUGUUCAAUGGGGUCAAAGUUACAAACUCUUUGUAAAAAAAAAGAAGAGGAGAAGAAAGGACAAAAAAAGGGGUGAAGAAGGCGAUCAUAAGAAACUUUUGUGCUGCCUGCAAGUUCAAGUCAAUGCUAAACUGUCACAUUUCAUUUUGGUCCAAGCUUCAAGGUCGAAGAUGGAUCCUUUCUCUGUUUUAGGAGUUCUGGAGUUCAAUCCCAAUUUAUCUGGUUUCCUCAUGGGACCUUUGUGUGUGGAUUUCUACUUUCUUAGCAAGUAACACCUAGGCUAAUACAUGCAUAUAUUUCCAUGGAAUGAACAUGGCAUUGUGAUUUUCUUCAGUUGCUCAUUGUAGGCCUCAUUAGUUGCCAAUUUGCCAUUGUCUUGGUCUAAUAAGUAAUAAAUCUGAUUUGCUAUGGCAUCUUAAAUUCUCAAUGGUAUCAAGGUCAUUUGAGACAAGCAUAAUA
This is an RNA transcript of Theobroma umbraticum, 1489 nucleotides long. It is a transcript of the gene named Peptidase S24/S26A/S26B/S26C family protein, with no coding region annotated. The record is from RefSeq and is a predicted model, not a curated record. NCBI's taxonomy places the organism in Eukaryota, Viridiplantae, Streptophyta, Magnoliopsida, Malvales, Malvaceae.